UACGUAGGGUGCGAGCGUUGUCCGGAAUUAUUGGGCGUAAAGGGCUCGUAGGCGGUCUGUUGCGUCAGGAGUGAAAACUCGGGGCUUAACCCCGAGCCUGCUUCUGAUACGGGCAGACUAGAGGUAUGCAGGGGAGAACGGAAUUCCUGGUGUAGCGGUGAAAUGCGCAGAUAUCAGGAGGAACACCGGUGGCGAAGGCGGCAUCCUGGACCGGCAUUGACGCUGAGGCGCGAAAGCCAGGGGAGCAAACGGG
RNAcentral lists this ribosomal RNA (253 nucleotides) under uncultured bacterium. Its description in RNAcentral is "partial 16S ribosomal RNA". It matches the Rfam family "Bacterial small subunit ribosomal RNA", at positions 524 to 776 of the family's 1533-position model. The record is from RNAcentral.